Molecule: ribosomal RNA, 301 nt
Filed under: uncultured bacterium
Lineage: Bacteria
Description: partial 16S ribosomal RNA
Rfam family: Bacterial small subunit ribosomal RNA
Source: RNAcentral
CAGCCGCCGCGGGAAUACGGAGGGUGCGAGCGUUAAUCGGAAUUACUGGGCGUAAAGCGUACGCAGGCGGUUUGUUAAGUCAGAUGUGAAAUCCCCGAGCUUAACUCGGGAACUGCAUUUGAAACUGGCAGGCUAGAGUCUCGUAGAGGGGGGUAGAAUUCCAGGUGUAGCGGUGAAAUGCGUAGAGAUCUGGAGGAAUACCGGUGGCGAAGGCGGCCCCCUGGACGAAGACUGACGCUCAGGUACGAAAGCGUGGGGAGCAAACAGGAUUAGAUACCCGAGUAGUCCCUGUCUCUUAUAC